RNAcentral lists this transfer RNA (72 nucleotides) under Salmo salar (Atlantic salmon). It matches the Rfam family "tRNA". From Rfam's summary of the family: Transfer RNA (tRNA) molecules are approximately 80 nucleotides in length. Their secondary structure includes four short double-helical elements and three loops (D, anti-codon, and T loops). The record is from Rfam by way of RNAcentral. Lineage: Eukaryota; Metazoa; Chordata; Actinopteri; Salmoniformes; Salmonidae.
AGCAGAUUGUCCCAGCGGAAGUGUACUGGGCCCAUAACCCAGCGGUUGAUGGAUCAAAACCAUCUUAUGCUG